This 1001-nucleotide ribosomal RNA is filed under the name uncultured bacterium. Its description in RNAcentral is "bacterial SSU rRNA". It matches the Rfam family "Bacterial small subunit ribosomal RNA", at positions 353 to 1371 of the family's 1533-position model. The record is from RNAcentral.
AGUGGGGAAUAUUGCACAAUGGAGGAAACUCUGAUGCAGCAACGCCGCGUGGAGGAUGACGCAUUUCGGUGUGUAAACUCCUUUUAUAUGGGAAGAUAAUGACGGUACCAUAUGAAUAAGCACCGGCUAACUCCGUGCCAGCAGCCGCGGUAAUACGGAGGGUGCAAGCGUUACUCGGAAUCACUGGGCGUAAAGCGCGCGCAGGCGGCCUGAUAAGUUGGAAGUGAAAUCCUAUGGCUUAACCAUAGAACUGCUUCCAAAACUGUCAGGCUAGAGUCUGGGAGGGGAAGAUGGAAUUAGUUGUGUAGGGGUAAAAUCCGUAGAGAUAACUAGGAAUACCAAAAGCGAAGGCGAUCUUCUGGAACAGUACUGACGCUGAGGCGCGAAAGCGUGGGGAGCAAACAGGAUUAGAUACCCUGGUAGUCCACGCCCUAAACGAUGAAUGUUAGUCGUCGGGAUGCAAGUCAUUUCGGUGAUGCAGUUAACACAUUAAACAUUCCGCCUGGGGAGUACGGUCGCAAGAUUAAAACUCAAAGGAAUAGACGGGGACCCGCACAAGUGGUGGAGCAUGUGGUUUAAUUCGAAGAUACGCGAAGAACCUUACCUGGCCUUGACAUUGAUGGAACACUGUAGAGAUACGGUGGUGCCCUUCGGGGAGCCUGAAAACAGGUGCUGCACGGCUGUCGUCAGCUCGUGUCGUGAGAUGUUGGGUUAAGUCCCGCAACGAGCGCAACCCUCGUGACUAGUUACUAACGGUUCGGCCGAGGACUCUAGUCAGACUGCCUUCGUAAGGAGGAGGAAGGUGAGGACGACGUCAAGUCAUCAUGGCCCUUACGGCCAGGGCGACACACGUGCUACAAUGGGGAGGACAAUGAGACGCAAUACCGCGAGGUGGAGCAAAUCUAUAAACCUUCUCUCAGUUCGGAUAGCUCUCUGCAACUCGAGAGCUUGAAGCUGGAAUCACUAGUAAUCGUAGAUCAGCCAUGCUACGGUGAAUACGU